Long non-coding RNA from Phyllostomus discolor (pale spear-nosed bat), 132 nucleotides. RefSeq lists it as uncharacterized. The transcript has 3 exons. The record is from RefSeq and is a predicted model, not a curated record. Lineage: Eukaryota; Metazoa; Chordata; Mammalia; Chiroptera; Phyllostomidae.
GAGUCCAGGUCACCCAAGAAGACUUUAAGAUGGUAGUAGCCAAGGUCAUGCAGAAGGAUAGUGAGAAAAAUAUGUCUAUCAAGAACCGAUGGAAGUGAGGUGGAUGUCCUCUGUGUGGGUCCCUCAAAUAAA